RNAcentral lists this long non-coding RNA (1043 nucleotides) under Numida meleagris (helmeted guineafowl). RNAcentral's name for it is "lncRNA (ENSNMEG00000012225.1)". The record is from RNAcentral. Lineage: Eukaryota; Metazoa; Chordata; Aves; Galliformes; Numididae.
AAUGUUUAUUGGGUGAUGGAUGGCACCUGUGCUCCUCAGGCAUUUGUGGUGCUGCAGAUGGGAGGUCCAUGUCUGCGUGGGAGCUCACCCUCAUCACAGCAAGCACAAAGCUCAGCUCAGCCAGACACAGUCCAGUCAAAGCCCCUGCGUGAGCCAGUCUCUAUGUAAAGACAUUCCACCUACAUUCCUCUGCCACCGGCAGAGAGGAGGGGGAGCGCAAUUAUGUGGGCUAACGAGACACAAAGGGCUCCGCGCCACGGCUACGGCUCAGAAACUGGAGCGUGGCAGAAAGAGCAGAAAUAAAUUUCGUCGGCUUCUUACUGCCUCAUCACCAGCAGAGACACACAGGAACAAGAUGAAACAUGGCUCAAAUAAAAUGUAAAUUGAACUUGCGUGCCUCGUCCAGUAAAACACAGUGAGACUUUGGCAACGAGCACUGCAGGGCAACGCAGAGAGCGAGAUGGGGCCACAGGAGGGAUGGACCUGGUGCUGCUCCAGGGCUAGACGAACCCAAGGGGUGGGGGUAUGGCAGCUCAGGCUGUGAGCUUGGGGCCAUCCCUCGUGUUCACGCACACAUCUCUAUUCCCUCAAGUCCUGGUGCUAAUGGGGUUUGGUUUGGGUUGGAGUAGUGCCUUGUUUCAGCUUCACCGAGGAGGUGAGGGCUCCCGCCGAAGCUUUUGUGGUGGCAGUGCUAUUUGUGGAGUGAGCUCUGCUGCAGGUUCUCUGCUCUUUUUAAGGAUUUUCUUUCCAGCUUUUGCCUGAACCAGAGGGUUUGCCUCCGUUCUGACCUCCCCAUGGUUCCAAAAGUCACAGGGAUGGAAUUCCUUGUGGGACAUGAUGGUCCAGCAGGUGCUGAAUGAGGCAGGGAUGGAGCUGUGGUCCACACUGAGCACCCGAGCCAAGCCCAGCAGCACCACCAAUGCAGACAGGACCUGUGCAGAGUUUGUGCUUUCUGGACAGAGGAACUCUGUGUUCUUUGGAAAAAUAUUUCUCCACCAGCACCGUAAUGAGAGGUUUGGAUUGCCUUGCCUUGAAAAUAAACA